Molecule: long non-coding RNA, 722 nt
Organism: Neopsephotus bourkii (Bourke's parrot)
Lineage: Eukaryota; Metazoa; Chordata; Aves; Psittaciformes; Psittacidae
Exons: 3
Source: RefSeq, a predicted model, not a curated record
UUUUUUUAAAAAGAUCGAGGUUAAUUUAACAAUGUCACAUGAGUAAAAUUCCUUAACAAGUGUCAACAGUGCAGAGGUCUGGGAGGUAUGAAAGACACGGUGUCCUUGGAUAUCCCCAGUUUCUUUCCUUCACAAGGAAUGAUUAGAAAAAAAGAGAGAUCCAAACCAUUCAGUGCUAGGAUGACAGAAGAUGUGAAAGAGAUAACACACUUGGAGUCAAAGCUUAAUCCCAUCCCUAACUACAGCUGGUAAGAUUCACAAGUCUCCUGAACCAGUGUACAGCCCUGGAGAGGCUGCAACCACACCUGACCUGGGUACUCUACCAAAACCAAGAGAACAACAGUUGCUGACAGAGGCUUAGAAUCUAGGUAUUCAGAAGGGAAAACACGAUCUGAAAAAGAAUGAAAGAUGAUGUAAGAAAAUGAAAAUUUUAGGUGAAAAAACCAAGAAGUCUCAAGUGAGCUCUAAACCACUUUGAUCAAGCAUGACUGGCAUUUAUUUUAAGUCUACACCAACAUUUAGAUGUUUUUGCACCAUGGCAGAUUUCAUCCUUCAGUUCUUUCCUGUAACAGUUGAUGUUACAUAAGAUGUCAUUUUACAAAAUAUGAGACCAUGUUGGAAACCAAUUUCCUGAAGAGCUAGAAAUAGGAUUGUAUCAUUACCUUGGGUCAGACUUGCAGUUCUGGCAAUCUUCUUUUUUAAUAAAUACAGAUACCUCCAUA